This 366-nucleotide ribosomal RNA is filed under the name uncultured bacterium. RNAcentral's name for it is "partial 16S ribosomal RNA". It matches the Rfam family "Bacterial small subunit ribosomal RNA", at positions 338 to 701 of the family's 1533-position model. The record is from RNAcentral.
CCUACGGGUGGCAGCAGUGAGGAAUAGUGGUCAAUGGACGAGAGUCUGAACCAGCCAAGUAGCGUGAAGGAUGACUGCCCUAUGGGUUGUAAACUUCUUUUAUAAAGGAAUAAAACGAGGCACGUGUGCCUUUUUGCAUGUACUUUAUGAAUAAGGAUCGGAUAACUCCGUGCCAGCAGCCGCGGUAAUACGGAGGAUCCGAGCGUUAGCCGGAUUGAUUGGGUUUACAGGGAGCGUAGAUGGGUUGUUAAGUCAGUUGUGAACGUUUGCGGCUCAACCGUAAAAUUGCAAUUGAUACUGGCAGUCUUGCGUACAGUUGAGGUAGGCGGACUUCGUGUUGUAGCGGUGAAAUGCUUAGAUAUCACG